This 477-nucleotide ribosomal RNA is filed under the name uncultured bacterium. Its description in RNAcentral is "partial 16S ribosomal RNA". It matches the Rfam family "Bacterial small subunit ribosomal RNA", at positions 28 to 507 of the family's 1533-position model. The record is from RNAcentral.
GAUGAACGCUGGCGGCGUGCCUAAUACAUGCAAGUCGAGCGAACAGACGAGGAGCUUGCUCCUCUGACGUUAGCGGCGGACGGGUGAGUAACACGUGGAUAACCUACCUAUAAGACUGGGAUAACUUCGGGAAACCGGAGCUAAUACCGGAUAAUAUAUUGAACCGCAUGGUUCAAUAGUGAAAGACGGUUUUGCUGUCGCUUGUAGAGGGAUCCGCGCGGCAUUAGCUAGUUGGUAAGGUAGCGGCUUACCAAGGCAACGAUGGGUAGCCGACCUGAGAGGGUGAACGGCCACAGUGGGACUGAGAGACGGCCCAGACUGCUACGGGAGGCAGCAGUGGGGAAUAGUGCACAAUGGGCGGAAGCCUGAUGCAGCAACGCCGCGUGCGGGAUGACGGCCUUCGGGGGGUAAACCGCUUUCGCCUGUGACGAAGCGUGAGUGACGGUAAUGGGUAAAGAAGCACCGGCUAACUACGUG